CCUACGGGGUGCAGCAGUGGGGAAUAUUGCACCAUGGAGGAAACCCUGAUGCAGCGACGCCUCGUGAGUGAAGAAGUAUUUCGGUACGUAAAGCUCUAUCAGCCGGGAAGAAAAUGACGGUACCUGACCAAGAAGCCCCGGCUAACUACGUGCCAGCAGCCGCGGUAAUACGUCGGGUGCCAGCGUUAUCCGGAUUUACUGGGUGUAAAGUGAGCGUAGACGGCAGCGCAAGUCUGGAGUGCAAUGCCUGGGCCCAACCCCGGAACUGCUUUGGAAACUGUGCAGCUGGAGUGCAGGAGAGGUAAGCGGAAUUCCUAGUGUAGCGGUGAAAUGCGUAGAUAGUAGGAGGAACACCAGUGGCGAAGGCGGCUUACUGGACUGUAACUGACGUUGAGGCUCGAAAGCGUGGGGAGCAAACAGGAUUAGAGACCCCUGUAGUC
Molecule: ribosomal RNA, 440 nt
Filed under: uncultured bacterium
Lineage: Bacteria
Description: partial 16S ribosomal RNA
Rfam family: Bacterial small subunit ribosomal RNA
Source: RNAcentral